UACGUAGGGUGCGAGCGUUGUCCGGAAUUACUGGGCGUAAAGAGCUUGUAGGCGGUUUGUCGCGUCGUCCGUGAAAACUUGGGGCUCAACCCCAAGCUUGCGGGCGAUACGGGCAGACUUGAGUACUGCAGGGGAGACUGGAAUUCCUGGUGUAGCGGUGAAAUGCGCAGAUAUCAGGAGGAACACCGGUGGCGAAGGCGGGUCUCUGGGCAGUAACUGACGCUGAGAAGCGAAAGCGUGGGUAGCGAACAGGAUUAGAUACCCUGGUAGUCCACGCCGUAAACGGUGGGCGCUAGGUGUGGGUUUCCUUCCACGGGAUCCGUGCCGUAGCUAACGCAUUAAGCGCCCCGCCUGGGGAGUACGGCCGCAAGGCUAAA
Molecule: ribosomal RNA, 377 nt
Filed under: uncultured bacterium
Lineage: Bacteria
Description: bacterial SSU rRNA
Rfam family: Bacterial small subunit ribosomal RNA
Source: RNAcentral